This 775-nucleotide ribosomal RNA is filed under the name uncultured bacterium. Its description in RNAcentral is "bacterial SSU rRNA". It matches the Rfam family "Bacterial small subunit ribosomal RNA", at positions 8 to 796 of the family's 1533-position model. The record is from RNAcentral.
AGAGUUUGAUCAUGGCUCAGAGCGAACGCUGGCGGCGUGCUUAACACAUGCAAGUCGAACGAGUGUAGCAAUACAUUCGUGGCGAACGGGUGCGUAACACGUGGAUAACCUUCCUUGAAGUGGGGAAUAACCCAGUGAAAAUUGGGAUAAUACCGCAUAACAUGACGAUGCCACAUGGUGUUGUCUUCAAAGGCGCAAGUCGCUACAAGAGGGAUCCGCGGCCGAUUAGCUAGUUGGUGAGGUAACGGCUCACCAAGGCAAUGAUCGGUAGCCGGUCUGAGAGGAUGGCCGGCCACACUGGAACUGAGACACGGUCCAGACUCCUACGGGAGGCAGCAGUGGGGAAUCUUGCACAAUGGGCGAAAGCCUGAUGCAGCAACGCCGCGUGGGGGAUGAAGCUUCUCGGAGUGUAAACCCCUUUCGACCCGGACGAAUGCCCGCAAGGGUUUGACGGUACGGGUAUAAGAAGCCCCGGCUAACUACGUGCCAGCAGCCGCGGUAAGACGUAGGGGGCCAGCGUUGCUCGGAAUUACUGGGCGUAAAGGGUCCGUAGGCGGUGCGGUAAGUUGGGAGUGAAAUCUCUGGGCUUAACUCAGAGGCUGCUUCCAAAACUACCGUGCUAGAGUGCGAGAGAGGCAAGUGGAAUUGCGGGUGUAGCGGUGAAAUGCGUAGAUAUCCGCAGGAACAUCCGAGGCGAAAGCGGCUUGCUGGAUCGCAACUGACGCUGAGGGACGAAAGCUAGGGGAGCAAACAGGAUUAGAUACCCUAGUAGUCC